UACGAAGGGGGCUAGCGUUGCUCGGAAUUACUGGGCGUAAAGCGCACGUAGGCGGUUUCUUAAGUCGGGGGUGAAAUCCUGGAGCUCAACUCCAGAACUGCCUUCGAUACUGGGAAACUUGAGUCCGGGAGAGGUGAGUGGAACUGCGAGUGUAGAGGUGAAAUUCGUAGAUAUUCGCAAGAACACCAGUGGCGAAGGCGGCUCACUGGCCCGGUACUGACGCUGAGGCACGAAAGCGUGGGGAGCGAACAGG
This 253-nucleotide ribosomal RNA is filed under the name uncultured bacterium. RNAcentral's name for it is "partial 16S ribosomal RNA". It matches the Rfam family "Bacterial small subunit ribosomal RNA", at positions 524 to 776 of the family's 1533-position model. The record is from RNAcentral.